AGUGGGCGGGGUUUGAAAAGCUGUGUUCCGGGAGAAGAUCAAAUUGAUUUUCAUACUGCAGUUUCUUUGAUCAAGAGAAAACAAAAUAUAGAUUUUUGCGAGAGUAAUCAGUAUGUAGAGGAUAGGCUUACUUCAAUGUAGAAUAUGUCAAUAAUGUCAAACAAACACUUUGACAGGAGUGUGAGAUAAGCUUUAUAGAGCUGAUGCUAUAUUUUCUUAAAAAGUGGACUGCAAUUUACUGCAACUGAAAAGAUUGUGUUUAUGAUUUGGAACUUUAUGAGACGGAUAUGGCCGUUGGUCAUAAGGUGUUAGUUUUGUUACUGACGGUAAUAUGCUGUGUUGGAGAGUGCAAGAAGAGAAAUGUUCUUCUUAUUAUCGCGGACGACGCAGGCUUCGAGACGUCGGUCUAUAACAACACCGUGGUCCGUACGCCUCACCUAGCCGCCCUGGGUCGACGUAGCCUGGUGUUCCAGAAUGCCUUCACCUCCGUUAGUAGCUGUUCUCCCAGCCGAUCCACCAUACUGACAGGCCUGCCGCAGCAUCAGAAUGGUAUGUACGGCCUGCACCAGGGAGUCCAUCACUUCAACUCGUUUGACGGAGUACAAAGCCUACCUCUACUGCUGGGCCAAGCUAACAUACGCACAGGGAUAAUUGGGAAGAAACACGUAGGCCCUGGCCCUGUCUAUCCCUUUGACUUCGCCUACACAGAGGAAAACAACUCUGUACUUCAGGUGGGUCGGAAUAUCACCCGGAUCAAACUACUGGUCAGGAAGUUCUUCCAGACCCAGAGAAAGGAAGAGGAAGAGAGACCGUUCUUCUUGUAUGUAGCGUUCCAUGACACCCACCGCUGUGGACAUUCCCAACCGCAGUACGGAUCAUUCUGUGAGAAGUUUGGGAACGGCCAGAGUGGAAUGGGGAGGAUUCCAGAUUGGAAGCCAGAAUACUACACCCCAGACCAAGUCAAGGUGCCCCACUUCAUCCCAGACACCCCUGUAGCGAGAGCUGAUUUGGCUGCCCAGUACACUACAGUUAGCAGACUGGACCAGGGUAUUGGUCUGGUGCUGGCUGAGUUGAGGGAGGCUGGUUAUGAGAACGACACCUUGGUGAUCUACAGCUCUGAUAACGGUAUCCCUUUCCCCAACGGACGCACCAACCUGUACGGAUCAGGCACCGCAGAACCCAUGUUGGUGUCAUCACCUGAACACAGGGAGAGAUGGGGAGGGACCAGCCAGGCCUACGUCAGUCUACUGGGUGAGAGGGAGGGAGAGAGGGGGAGCAAGAGGGAGGGACCAGCCAGGCCUACGUCAGUCUACUGGACAUCACCCCCACCUUACUGGACUGGUUCUCCAUACCGUACCCCUCAUACUGCCUCCCGGGCACCCCUACCACCCCUGUCAGCCUCACAGGCCGCUCCCUCCUCCCUGCCCUCAUCGCUGAACCCUCACCCGCCGCCUGGCACACCGUCUACGCCAGCCAGUCCCUCCAUGAGGUGACCAUGUACUACCCUAUCCGCUCCAUCCACCAGGGAGCGUACCGCCUGCUCCACAACCUCCACUACCGCAUGCCCUUCCCCAUAGACCAGGACUUCUAUGUCUCUCCCACCUUCCAGGACCUGCUGAAUAACACCCUGGCCGGACGGCCCACAGGCUGGUUCAAGACCCUGCAACAAUACUACUACAGGGACCGCUGGGAGCUUUUUGACUUGCGGUCGGACCCAGAGGAGACUGUGAACCUGGCUGGGGACCCGGCUCUCGCCCCGGUCCUGGAGAGCCUCAGACACAGGCUGCUGAAGUGGCAGUGGGAAACUGGGGAUCCUUGGGUCUGUGGACCAGACGCUGUGCUGGAGGACAAACUGGAACCACACUGUCGACCACUCUACAACGGAGUCUGACCGCAACUAGACCACAACUGGACCAUGAUUGAUCCACAAUCAAUCAUAUUUAUUUUAUAAAGCCCUUUUAACAUCAGCAGUAGUCACAAUGUGCUUCACAGUUAGCUGGCCUGAACCUCCACAGAGCAAUCAAUGCAGAAGAAGAAUCACAGUGUCCAGGAACAUCUCCCUAGAAAGAAGGAAUCUAGGAAGUAAGAUGGAGAGGAAUCCGGCUCCUGCGAUGGCCCAUCCUUUUGUGGCUGUAACAGGUAGAGGUUAAGAGUACAUGUGGCCAUUAAGAGUACAUGUGGCCAUUAAAGAGGUACUUGGGGAUUUUGUGUAGCCACAACUGUCUUUAUUUUAAUGUGAGUUAUAACCCAUGAGUUAUGACUAUAGGGCCAGGAGUUUUGACCAGAAACCACCUCGUGACCUGAACAGGAAGAACUAUGGGUUAUGAUUAUGAUGACCAUUUAUGGCUGAAAAACAAAAAACAAAUGUGGUAUAGCUUCAGUGCAAAUGUACUGGGUUUCAUACAAUGUAUGUUUUGUAUGAUUUCAGUUUGACAACAUCUAGAUGUUGAGAUUUUAUGUAUUUUGUAAAAUAAAGUAUUUUCUUGCUUC
Salmo salar (Atlantic salmon) is the source of this 2490-nucleotide RNA transcript. It is a transcript of the gene named N-sulfoglucosamine sulfohydrolase, with no coding region annotated. The record is from RefSeq and is a predicted model, not a curated record. NCBI's taxonomy places the organism in Eukaryota, Metazoa, Chordata, Actinopteri, Salmoniformes, Salmonidae.